RNAcentral lists this ribosomal RNA (450 nucleotides) under Decalepis arayalpathra. RNAcentral's name for it is "eukaryotic LSU rRNA". Lineage: Eukaryota; Viridiplantae; Streptophyta; Magnoliopsida; Gentianales; Apocynaceae. The record is from RNAcentral.
CAUCGAGUCUUUGAACGCAAGUUGCGCCUGAAGCCACUAGGUUGAGGGCACGUCUGCCUGGGCGUCACACAAUGUGUCGCCCCCUUGCAGCUCGCCUUGCACAGGAUGAGUGUUGCUAAUGGGGGCGGAUAAUGGCUUCCCGUGCGUAGGUGCGGCCGGCCUAAAUUGUAGUCCCUCAUCUCACGGGGUCACAACAAGUGGUGGUUGAAAAGCUUAAACAAGUUGUGCACACCAUGCGAUGGAGGUGAUGUUUUGGACCCUAAGGCGAUCCCUCUACUGUGAGGAGCGUUCGUCACGACUGCGACCCCAGGUCAGGCGGGGCUACCCGCUGAGUUUAAGCAUAUCAAUAAGCGGAGGAAAAGAAACUAACAAGGAUUCCCUUAGUAACGGCGAGCGAACCGGGAAAAGCCCAAGCUUAGAAUYSWGCGGCUUCGUCGCUCGAAUUGUAGU